GUGGUUUAAUUCGAUGAUACGCGAGGGAACUUACCCUGGGCUCGAACGUAAGAUGACUGUAGGUGAAAGCUUACAUCUCUUCGGAGCAUUUUACGAGGUGCUGCAUGGUUGUCGUCAGCUCGUGCCGUGAGGUGUCGGGUUAAGUCCCAUAACGAGCGCAACCCUACCUUUAGUUGCCAUCAGGUUAAGCUGGGGACUCUAAAGGAACUGCCUACGCAAGUAGUGAGGAAGGCGGGGAUGACGUCAAAUCAGCACGGCCCUUACGUCCAGGGCUACACACGUGCUACAAUGGCCGAUACAGAGGGCAGCUACCUGGUGACAGGAUGCAAAUCUCCAAAGUCGGUCUCAGUUCGGAUCGGAGUCUGCAACCCGACUCCGUGAAGUUGGAUUCGCUAGUAAUCGCGCAUCAGCCAUGGCGCGGUGAAUACGUUCCCGGGCCUU
RNAcentral lists this ribosomal RNA (441 nucleotides) under uncultured Sphingobacteriales bacterium. RNAcentral describes it as "bacterial SSU rRNA". It matches the Rfam family "Bacterial small subunit ribosomal RNA", at positions 941 to 1382 of the family's 1533-position model. Lineage: Bacteria; Pseudomonadati; Bacteroidota; Sphingobacteriia; Sphingobacteriales. The record is from RNAcentral.